RNAcentral lists this ribosomal RNA (253 nucleotides) under uncultured bacterium. RNAcentral describes it as "partial 16S ribosomal RNA". It matches the Rfam family "Bacterial small subunit ribosomal RNA", at positions 524 to 776 of the family's 1533-position model. The record is from RNAcentral.
UACGGAGGGAGCUAGCGUUGUUCGGAAUUACUGGGCGUAAAGCGCACGUAGGCGGCUUUGUAAGUUAGAGGUGAAAGCCCGGGGCUCAACCCCGGAAUUGCCCUUAAGACUGCAUCGCUUGAAUCCGGGAGAGGUAAGUGGAAUUCCGAGUGUAGAGGUGAAAUUCGUAGAUAUUCGGAAGAACACCAGUGGCGAAGGCGGCUCACUGGACCGGCAUUGACGCUGAGGUGCGAAAGCGUGGGGAGCAAACAGG